UUCACCGAGCAGUUUGUUUUCCACUUAUGGAAUCACAAAAAUAUUUAAUCUGCUGCUUUAGUGGCAUCACCAUCCUUCAGACUCCAGACCGCAGGAAUCUUCCUUCUUUAAAUCCCCUGGAGGCACAAAAUUCUCCGAGGUGACCAAUGUCCUCUGAAAAGCCAGCACUCAAAUGGCCUGAAUGCACUGUCUCCUGGGCUUUAGAGACAGAGACAAAAGUCAACUGAACAGACUGAAUGGGCUGAUCUUGACUUUCAGAAACAUUCCACGUGAGUUGGGGAGAAGAACUAAAUUCUCUGCCUCUGUGAGGAGUCAGGACUUAAUCUGAGGCAUUCCAUCAUGGCAACCAAAGCAAUCCAAGUUUAAUCUCCAAGCAUUCAUCUCCCAAGUUCAGAUUUUUCUUCCAUCUUCUCAGCUGGUGCAUUCCCAACUUCUGAAUUUCUAAAAAUACCCAGCGUGGUUCCCUCUACAAAACAGCAGCACCCUGCCAGCUGUUAAAUAA
Long non-coding RNA from Talpa occidentalis (Iberian mole), 502 nucleotides. RefSeq lists it as uncharacterized. The record is from RefSeq and is a predicted model, not a curated record. NCBI's taxonomy places the organism in Eukaryota, Metazoa, Chordata, Mammalia, Eulipotyphla, Talpidae. The transcript is spliced from 3 exons.